UGAGGAAUAUUGGACAAUGGACGCAAGCCUGAACCAGCCAUGCCGCGUGCAGGAAGAAGCCUCUAUGGUUUGUAAACUGCUUUUAUACGGGAAUAAACUCUCUCUCGUGUGGCUUCUUGCCUGUACCUUAUGAAUAAGGAUCGGCUAACUCCGUGCCAGCAGCCGCGGUAAUACGGAGGGUCCAGGCGUUAUCCGGAUUGAUUGGGUUUAAAGGGUCCGUAGGCCGGUUAUUAAGUGAGUGGUGAAAGGUCGUUGCUCAACAUUGGAACUGCAGCUCGUACUGGUAGACUUGAAUACGCAGAAAGUAAGUGGAAUAUGUAGUGUAGCGGUGAAAUGCUUAGAUAUUACGUGGAAUACCGAUUGCGAAGGCAGCUUACUAAGCAGCGACUGACAUUGAUGCUCGAAAGCGUGGGGAGCAAACA
Molecule: ribosomal RNA, 422 nt
Filed under: uncultured bacterium
Lineage: Bacteria
Description: bacterial SSU rRNA
Rfam family: Bacterial small subunit ribosomal RNA
Source: RNAcentral